This 528-nucleotide ribosomal RNA is filed under the name Enterobacter sp. B122. RNAcentral's name for it is "bacterial SSU rRNA". It matches the Rfam family "Bacterial small subunit ribosomal RNA", at positions 1 to 522 of the family's 1533-position model. Lineage: Bacteria; Pseudomonadati; Pseudomonadota; Gammaproteobacteria; Enterobacterales; Enterobacteriaceae. The record is from RNAcentral.
UGGAGAGUUUGAUCCUGGCUCAGAUUGAACGCUGGCGGCAGGCCUAACACAUGCAAGUCGAACGGUAGCACAGAGGAGCUUGCUCCUUGGGUGACGAGUGGCGGACGGGUGAGUAAUGUCUGGGAAACUGCCUGAUGGCGGGGGAUAACUACUGGAAACGGUAGCUAAUACCGCAUAACGUCGCAAGACCAAAGAGGGGGACCUUCGGGCCUCUUGCCAUCAGAUGUGCCCAGAUGGGAUUAGCUAGUAGGUGGGGUAAUGGCUCACCUAGGCGACGAUCCCUAGCUGGUCUGAGAGGAUGACCAGCCACACUGGAACUGAGACACGGUCCAGACUCCUACGGGAGGCAGCAGUGGGGAAUAUUGCACAAUGGGCGCAAGCCUGAUGCAGCCAUGCCGCGUGUAUGAAGAAGGCCUUCGGGUUGUAAAGUACUUUCAGCGAGGAGGAAGGCAUUAAGGUUAAUAACCUUGGUGAUUGACGUUACUCGCAGAAGAAGCACCGGCUAACUCCGUGCCAGCAGCCGCGGUA